AUGGUGGUGGCUUAGUUGUAGCAGAAUGUGUGGUGAUUCGUGAUCAAUGAAACUAGGCAGGAGGUGGAUGUUGGGUUAAGUGGGGGAACCCGAAGUUUUAAUCUUUUUGGUAGGUUUGAUGUAGAUGAUUGAGAAAGAGUGUUAAAAGUUUGGUUUUGAGUGAGUUUGGUGUUUACAUGGGUGUCCUUUGGGGUCUCUUGUCAUCAAAAUGAAAGUCACAGACGAUGGUUUUAGUGCUCUUUGAAUUCAUUGUGUCUAUGUGCAGUAAACCAGCUUCUCAACGUUGAUACUGUUUUUCCUUGAGCAAAACGAUGCAAAGGGAUAUCAAGUUAGUGGAAAUUGUUCAAGGAAACUGUUUGGAGAGUCUUCUGAGUUCUGAGCUUGGCCUUGUGUAAUCCAGGAUCUUCUUGUUCUUGUCUAGUCUCAGCAUCUUCGAGGCAUUUGCUGCUACUGGUUUUUGGAAUCUAUAGUCACAUUGGUCAGCUAAACUUGUCUGAGGAACUUAUUCCAGUUAUCAGUUGUAUCAGAAACAUGAACCGGUUAUGAUUGGAGUUACAGCAAGAGUGAUGCUUAAUUGUAACUUCUCUAAGCCUCUGCGUAUUUCGUGAUUUUGGUAGUGAUUAGUGAACUCCUUAGAGAUAGUGGGGACAAACUCUUGUUUGAAGCUGUAACUUCUCUUAGCCUCUGCAUAUUUUGUGAUGUUGGUAGUGAUUAGUGAACUCCUUAGAGAUAGUUGGGACAAACUCUUAAGCUGUAACUUCUCUUAGCCUCUGCAUAUUUGUGAUGUUUGUAGUGAUCAAUGAACUCCUUAGAGAUAGUUGGGACACACUCUUAUAAGAACCUGUUUGAAACUAUAAUGAAACUAGUUCUCAGGAUUGACCUGUUGCGUUACUUACAAUGGCUCCCCAACAUAUAUAGCCAUUGAAUUGCUUUGUCUUUUCCUUGACAUCAUUGUAAGAUUUUAUCCAACAUAUUGAACUCCCUGGGCAGAGAGUCCACAAUCAGUUUGGCCAGGAAAUGUUUUUACAUUCCUUUCUUGGUCAUUUU
This 1047-nucleotide long non-coding RNA is filed under the name Capsella grandiflora. RNAcentral describes it as "long non-coding RNA (CGRA_LNC000155)". The record is from RNAcentral. Lineage: Eukaryota; Viridiplantae; Streptophyta; Magnoliopsida; Brassicales; Brassicaceae.